Molecule: ribosomal RNA, 468 nt
Filed under: uncultured bacterium
Lineage: Bacteria
Description: partial 16S ribosomal RNA
Rfam family: Bacterial small subunit ribosomal RNA
Source: RNAcentral
GACGAACGCUGGCGGCGUGCUUAACACAUGCAAGUCGAACGGAAAGGCCCUUCUUUUGUGGGGUGCUCGAGUGGCGAACGGGUGAGUAACACGUGAGUAACCUGCCCUUGACUUUGGGAUAACUUCAGGAAACUGGGGCUAAUACCGGAUAGGAGCUCCUGCUGCAUGGUGGGGGUUGGAAAGUUUCGGCGGUUGGGGAUGGACUCGCGGCUUAUCAGCUUGUUGGUGGGGUAGUGGCUUACCAAGGCUUUGACGGGUAGCCGGCCUGAGAGGGUGACCGGCCACAUUGGGGCUGAGAUACGGCCCAGACUCCUACGGGAGGCAGCAGUGGGGAAUAUUGCACAAUGGGCGGAAGCCUGAUGCAGCAACGCCGCGUGCGGGAUGACGGCCUUCGGGUUGUAAACCGCUUUCGCCUGUGACGAAGCGUGAGUGACGGUAAUGGGUAAAGAAGCACCGGCUAACUACGUG